GCGUUAAGUUGCAGGGUAUAGACCCGAAACCCGGUGAUCUAGCCAUGGGCAGGUUGAAGGUUGGGUAACACUAACUGGAGGACCGAACCGACUAAUGUUGAAAAAUUAGCGGAUGACCUGUGGCUGGGGGUGAAAGGCCAAUCAAACCGGGAGAUAGCUGGUUCUCCCCGAAAGCUAUUUAGGUAGCGCCUCGUGAAUUCAUCUCCGGGGGUAGAGCACUGUUUCGGCUAGGGGGCCAUCCCGGCUUACCAACCCGAUGCAAACUGCGAAUACCGGAGAAUGUUAUCACGGGAGACACACGGCGGGUGCUAACGUCCGUCGUGAAGAGGGAAACAACCCAGACCGCCAGCUAAGGUCCCAAAGUCAUGGUUAAGUGGGAAACGAUGUGGGAAGGCCCAGACAGCCAGGAUGUUGGCUUAGAAGCAGCCAUCAUUUAAAGAAAGCGUAAUAGCUCACUGGUCGAGUCGGCCUGCGCGGAAGAUGUAACGGGGCUAAACCAUGCACCGAAGCUGCGGCAGCGACGCUGAUGCGUUGUUGGGUAGGGGAGCGUUCUGUAAGCCUGCGAAGGUGGCCUGUGAGGGUUGCUGGAGGUAUCAGAAGUGCGAAUGCUGACAUAAGUAACGAUAAAGCGGGUGAAAAGCCCGCUCGCCGGAAGACCAAGGGUUCCUGUCCAACGUUAAUCGGGGCAGGGUGAGUCGACCCCUAAGGCGAGGCCGAAAGGCGUAGUCGAUGGGAAACGGGUUAAUAUUCCCGUACUUGGUGUUACUGCGAAGGGGGGACGGAGAAGGCUAUGUUGGCCGGGCGACGGUUGUCCCGGUUUAAGCGUGUAGGUGUGUGUUCCAGGUAAAUCCGGUUCACUUUAACACUGAGGCGUGAUGACGAGGCACUACGGUGCUGAAGCAACAAAUGCCCUGCUUCCAGGAAAAGCCUCUAAGCAUCAGGUAACAUCAAAUCGUACCCCAAACCGACACAGGUGGUCAGGUAGAGAAUACCAAGGCGCUUGAGAGAACUCGGGUGAAGGAACUAGGCAAAAUGGUGCCGUAACUUCGGGAGAAGGCACGCUGACACGUAGGUGAAGUGAUUUACUCACGGAGCUGAAGUCAGUCGAAGAUACCAGCUGGCUGCAACUGUUUAUUAAAAACACAGCACUGUGCAAACACGAAAGUGGACGUAUACGGUGUGACGCCUGCCCGGUGCCGGAAGGUUAAUUGAUGGGGUCAGCGCAAGCGAAGCUCCUGAUCGAAGCCCCGGUAAACGGCGGCCGUAACUAUAACGGUCCUAAGGUAGCGAAAUUCCUUGUCGGGUAAGUUCCGACCUGCACGAAUGGCGUAAUGAUGGCCAGGCUGUCUCCACCCGAGACUCAGUGAAAUUGAACUCGCUGUGAAGAUGCAGUGUACCCGCGGCAAGACGGAAAGACCCCGUGAACCUUUACUAUAGCUUGACACUGAACAUUGAGCCUUGAUGUGUAGGAUAGGUGGGAGGCUUUGAAGUGUGGACGCCAGUCUGCAUGGAGCCGACCUUGAAAUACCACCCUUUAAUGUUUGAUGUUCUAACGUGGACCCGUUACCCGGGUUGCGGACAGUGUCUGGUGGGUAGUUUGACUGGGGCGGUCUCCUCCUAAAGAGUAACGGAGGAGCACGAAGGUUGGCUAAUCCUGGUCGGACAUCAGGAGGUUAGUGCAAUGGCAUAAGCCAGCUUGACUGCGAGCGUGACGGCGCGAGCAGGUGCGAAAGCAGGUCAUAGUGAUCCGGUGGUUCUGAAUGGAAGGGCCAUCGCUCAACGGAUAAAAGGUACUCCGGGGAUAACAGGCUGAUACCGCCCAAGAGUUCAUAUCGACGGCGGUGUUUGGCACCUCGAUGUCGGCUCAUCACAUCCUGGGGCUGAAGUAGGUCCCAAGGGUAUGGCUGUUCGCCAUUUAAAGUGGUACGCGAGCUGGGUUUAGAACGUCGUGAGACAGUUCGGUCCCUAUCUGCCGUGGGCGCUGGAGAACUGAGGGGGGCUGCUCCUAGUACGAGAGGACCGGAGUGGACGCAUCACUGGUGUUCGGGUUGUCAUGCCAAUGGCACUGCCCGGUAGCUAAAUGCGGAAGAGAUAAGUGCUGAAAGCAUCUAAGCACGAAACUUGCCCCGAGAUGAGUUCU
This 2140-nucleotide ribosomal RNA is filed under the name Salmonella enterica subsp. enterica serovar Bovismorbificans. RNAcentral describes it as "bacterial LSU rRNA". It matches the Rfam family "Bacterial large subunit ribosomal RNA", at positions 692 to 2812 of the family's 2925-position model. The record is from RNAcentral. Lineage: Bacteria; Pseudomonadati; Pseudomonadota; Gammaproteobacteria; Enterobacterales; Enterobacteriaceae.